This 253-nucleotide ribosomal RNA is filed under the name uncultured bacterium. RNAcentral describes it as "partial 16S ribosomal RNA". It matches the Rfam family "Bacterial small subunit ribosomal RNA", at positions 524 to 776 of the family's 1533-position model. The record is from RNAcentral.
GACAGAGGGUGCAAACGUUGUUCGGAAUUACUGGGCGUAAAGCGAGUGUAGGCGGUUUGGUAAGUCGGAUGUGAAAGCCCCGGGCUCAACCCGGGAAGUGCACUCGAUACUGCCAAGCUAGAGUAUCGGAGAGGUUGGUGGAAUUCUCGGUGUAGAGGUGAAAUUCGUAGAUAUCGAGAGGAACACCGGUGGCGAAGGCGGCCAACUGGACGAAUACUGACGCUGAUGCGCGAAAGCGUGGGGAGCAAACGGG